AUAAGCGGAGGAAAAGAAACUAACAAGGAUUCCCCUAGUAACGGCGAGUGAAGCGGGAAGAGCUCAAAUUUGAAAUCUGGUAGCCUUCGGCUGCCCGAGUUGUAAUCUAGAGAAGUGUUUUCCGUGCCGGCCCAUGUACAAGUCCCUUGGAACAGGGCGUCAUAGAGGGUGAGAAUCCCGUCCUUGACAUGGACCCCCGGUGCUUUGUGAUACACUUUCAACGAGUCGAGUUGUUUGGGAAUGCAGCUCAAAAUGGGUGGUGAAUUCCAUCUAAAGCUAAAUAUUGGCGAGAGACCGAUAGCGAACAAGUACCGUGAGGGAAAGAUGAAAAGCACUUUGGAAAGAGAGUUAAACAGUACGUGAAAUUGUUGAAAGGGAAACGAUUGAAGUCAGUCAUGCUCUUUGGAUUCAGCCGUUCUGCGGUGUAUUUCCAUUGAGUGGGGUCAACAUCAGUUUUGACCGCUGGAUAAAGGCACUAGGAAGGUAGCACUCUCGGGUGAACUUAUAGCCUAGCGUCAUAUACAGUGGUUGGGACUGAGGAACGCAGCAUGCCUUUAUGGCCGGGAUUCGUCCACGUACAUGCUUAGGAUGUUGACAUAAUGGCUUUAAACGACCC
This 616-nucleotide ribosomal RNA is filed under the name Naganishia uzbekistanensis. RNAcentral describes it as "eukaryotic LSU rRNA". It matches the Rfam family "Eukaryotic large subunit ribosomal RNA", at positions 46 to 650 of the family's 3401-position model. Lineage: Eukaryota; Fungi; Basidiomycota; Tremellomycetes; Filobasidiales; Filobasidiaceae. The record is from RNAcentral.